RNAcentral lists this long non-coding RNA (3843 nucleotides) under Homo sapiens (human). RNAcentral describes it as "non-protein coding lnc-VEPH1-2:4". Lineage: Eukaryota; Metazoa; Chordata; Mammalia; Primates; Hominidae. The record is from RNAcentral.
UUUAAAUGGAAGAAAGUAAGGAAAAUGUAUGAUAACUGACUUUUUACUCUGAUGUUACCAUAGGGGUAAUGAAGUUCAUCGCAGAUUGUUUUCUAACCUUCGGUGCAUGUAUUGAAAUAGAUUUUUGUUUUAAAAAUAUGAGAUUACAUUUUUCUGGAUCUGGUGUGCAUUGGGGUAGAGAGGAUGACUGUCUUAAAAAUAGAUCGUGUAUUCUGCCUAGAGCAAAGACUCUUAAGUCUUUUGGCUGAAAAUGAACUGAGUAUGGACAAAAAUAUUGAAGUAUUCUACUUGUAAACUUACCGUAUAAUCAGUGUCUUGAUAAAAUAGUAGUUUUUGUUGGUUGAAUCUAAGAAUGUGUUGGACUUGGGUAAAUUUCAGACAUGACCAACAACAAAAAACAAAAGCCCAAUUCCUUAACCUUUCCUGACUGAAACUUCUCAGGAAGAAACCAGUUUUGAAUUGUAUGACAUAAAUAAGAUUGUCUUUUAUUAUAAGUUUUUAAACUAUGUAAUAAAACAUUUGGGGAUAACAUCAGUUGAAUGUGCUACUUUUAAAGCAUUAAACCACUGACAUAAGCCUUCUGUAUUAUAGAAACUUCUGAGUUACCAAAAUUUAGUCUGGUACAGAGCCCUUGAAUAUGUUGUGGUUCCCUCAUUAUGGCCCUUCAUUCCCUUCUGUGUUAAUAGUAAAGCAUGUUGCCUAAUAACUACAACCCUGACCAAAUUUGGGCCUGGAUCUCAUGGGUCACGUGGAGUUUUAAAUACGAUUUUUAAUUUACUUGGGUAAUUGAGCUGAAUCUUUAGUUUUCAGAUUACUUUUUUAAACAGAUAGGCUCUUAGAACAAAUUAUUAAAAACAUAAUACCCCAUUGGAGGGGAAUCUGGAUUAACUACCCACUGUUCCCACCCCCCCCAACUUUUGAAAAAUUUUGGCCAUAUAGAAUGCAUGAAAAAUCAGUAUGAUCUUAUGAGGACUUUAUAGUACUGUAAAUCUUAGGAGCACUUUAGUUGUUUUGUUUGUUUGUUUGUUUUACCAGUCAAAUAGCAGUGGGAGAUUGUAUACCAACUUUAGUGACACUGAUAUUAGUAAGUUCUGAUAACCCACUACCAUCGGACCAGCCUGGAGCACAUUACUUUGGCCAGUGGAAAGUCUCUUGGAGAGACUUUGAGGUUUGUGAUGACAAAUCAUGCUAUCGUUAAAGUUAAAUACAUAUAUAUACACACCUAGAAUAUAAGCAGAAUGGAAAAGUUGGCAGGGAUGAAUUCAAGAACAUUAGAGUGAAUUUUUUUCAUUACAGAAUUGUUAGUUCCUUUAGGAACUUAGUCUCGUAGAUGUAUAUAUUUAAUUAGCAUAACUUGGACAGCACAAGAUUAAUGCUUUAACUUGUUUGCAGGAGUUUAAAAAGCUGGUUUCUGUUGCCAAUAGUUGGUUGGAAGGGAAAAUGGAGAUGCCACAAAUAAAAUUUUUUGGAUGUGCAAAACAGUUUUGAUUUUAUUUCUUACAAACUAUAGGACUCCAAGCCCCCUGAUCCUUGAUCAGAACUACAUUAACACCAAAAAUCAAGUUAUCAAAGCAGAGAGGAGGGUGCUAAAGGAGUUGGGAUUUUGUGUUCAUGUCAAGCAUCCUCAUAAGGUGAGUUGUAGAGUACAGAAAUUGGGUUCGUAAGUAUUAGGACUUUUCUAAAAAUUUUAUUUUAUAUGAAUUUAUGUUUCUAUCUGAGUGUUAACCUUGGUUUUAAAAAGCAUUCUUUUAAAGGUUCAGGCUUCAUCGAAAAACAUUCUUUUGGAUGUUGAGAUUUAUCAGUAAAAUGACAGUCAAAAAUGUAGGUUCAAAUCUUAAAUCUUAAUUGUGUGCUCAUAGAGAAGUUAUUUUUGUUUCUGUGGUUAAAGUCCCAGUUUUUCCACCUAGAAAACAGAGAUGUAAAGUUCCUCAUUCCAAGGAAUAAAUGUGUAGCUACAAAAGUAUCUGGCACACUUAUCAUCAUAGUAGAAUGUUCUAAGUGUGUUGGCUGCUCACUGUUACCAUUAUUGGAAAUUUGUUUCUCCCAACAUCUCUUAGCUUUCAUUAUCAAUAUAAGCCAUAGAGUGAGUUACCCGGGUCAGGACUACCUGGGUUAGAAAUGUACCUUGGGAAAUUAGGUGAAAUAAUCUAGCACGGUGCCCAUCACAUAGUAAAGUGCCAAUGAAAAAUAUUCUUUUAAUUGCCUUUUUUCCUGUACAAUUUUGAAAUAUGCUUCUAAACAUAAUUUAUAUAAAAUCUAGUCAUGUAGCAGUUCACAUUAGAAUCUUAUGUACAUUUAAAUUGGUCUGUAUUAUCGAUGCACAAUUAGAACUUGAGUCUAACAUUUUCAAUUACUUUUUUCAUUGAACUCUACUCCGAAAGAACUACCAGUAUACUGAAUUGAGUUUUUUUCCCUUGUCCUUCAGAUCAUUGUUAUGUAUUUACAAGUCUUAGAAUGUGAACGUAAUCAAACCCUGGUUCAAACUGCCUGGAAUUACAUGAAUGACAGUCUUCGAACCAAUGUGUUUGUUCGAUUUCAACCAGAGACUAUAGCAUGUGCUUGCAUCUACCUUGCAGCUAGAGCACUUCAGAUUCCGUUGCCAACUCGUCCCCAUUGGUUUCUUCUUUUUGGUACUACAGAAGAGGAAAUCCAGGAAAUCUGCAUAGAAACACUUAGGCUUUAUACCAGAAAAAAGCCAAACUAUGAAUUACUGGAAAAAGAAGUAGAAAAAAGAAAAGUAGCCUUACAAGAAGCCAAAUUAAAAGCAAAGGGAUUGAAUCCGGAUGGAACUCCAGCCCUUUCAACCCUGGGUGGAUUUUCUCCAGCCUCCAAGCCAUCAUCACCAAGAGAAGUAAAAGCUGAAGAGAAAUCACCAAUCUCCAUUAAUGUGAAGACAGUCAAAAAAGAACCUGAGGAUAGACAACAGGCUUCCAAAAGCCCUUACAAUGGUGUAAGAAAAGACAGCAAGAGAAGUAGAAAUAGCAGAAGUGCAAGUCGAUCGAGGUCAAGAACACGAUCACGUUCUAGAUCACAUACUCCAAGAAGACACUAUAAUAAUAGGCGGAGUCGAUCUGGAACAUACAGCUCGAGAUCAAGAAGCAGGUCCCGCAGUCACAGUGAAAGCCCUCGAAGACAUCAUAAUCAUGGUUCUCCUCACCUUAAGGCCAAGCAUACCAGAGAUGAUUUAAAAAGUUCAAACAGACAUGGUCAUAAAAGGAAAAAAUCUCGUUCUCGAUCUCAGAGCAAGUCUCGGGAUCACUCAGAUGCAGCCAAGAAACACAGGCAUGAAAGGGGACAUCAUAGGGACAGGCGUGAACGAUCUCGCUCCUUUGAGAGGUCCCAUAAAAGCAAGCACCAUGGUGGCAGUCGCUCAGGACAUGGCAGGCACAGGCGCUGACUUUCUCUUCCUUUGAGCCUGCAUCAGUUCUUGGUUUUGCCUAUCUACAGUGUGAUGUAUGGACUCAAUCAAAAACAUUAAACGCAAACUGAUUAGGAUUUGAUUUCUUGAAACCCUCUAGGUCUCUAGAACACUGAGGACAGUUUCUUUUGAAAAGAACUAUGUUAAUUUUUUUGCACAUUAAAAUGCCCUAGCAGUAUCUAAUUAAAAACCAUGGUCAGGUUCAAUUGUACUUUAUUAUAGUUGUGUAUUGUUUAUUGCUAUAAGAACUGGAGCGUGAAUUCUGUAAAAAUGUAUCUUAUUUUUAUACAGAUAAAAUUGCAGACACUGUUCUAUUUAAGUGGUUAUUUGUUUAAAUGAUGGUGAAUACUUUCUUAACACUGGUUUGUCUGCAUGUGUAAAGAUUUUUACAAGGAAAUAAAAUACAAAUCUUGUUUUUUCUAAAC